UUAAGCGACUAAGCGUACACGGUGGAUGCCCUGGCAGUCAGAGGCGAUGAAGGACGUGCUAAUCUGCGAUAAGCGUCGGUAAGGUGAUAUGAACCGUUAUAACCGGCGAUUUCCGAAUGGGGAAACCCAGUGUGUUUCGACACACUAUCAUUAACUGAAUCCAUAGGUUAAUGAGGCGAACCGGGGGAACUGAAACAUCUAAGUACCCCGAGGAAAAGAAAUCAACCGAGAUUCCCCCAGUAGCGGCGAGCGAACGGGGAGCAGCCCAGAGCCUGAAUCAGUGUGUGUGUUAGUGGAAGCGUCUGGAAAGGCGCGCGAUACAGGGUGACAGCCCCGUACACAAAAAUGCACAUGCUGUGAGCUCGAUGAGUAGGGCGGGACACGUGGUAUCCUGUCUGAAUAUGGGGGGACCAUCCUCCAAGGCUAAAUACUCCUGACUGACCGAUAGUGAACCAGUACCGUGAGGGAAAGGCGAAAAGAACCCCGGCGAGGGGAGUGAAAAAGAACCUGAAACCGUGUACGUACAAGCAGUGGGAGCACGCUUAGGCGUGUGACUGCGUACCUUUUGUAUAAUGGGUCAGCGACUUAUAUUCUGUAGCAAGGUUAACCGAAUAGGGGAGCCGAAGGGAAACCGAGUCUUAACUGGGCGUUAAGUUGCAGGGUAUAGACCCGAAACCCGGUGAUCUAGCCAUGGGGCAGGUUGAAGGUUGGGUAACACUAACUGGAGGACCGAACCGACUAAUGUUGAAAAAUUAGCGGAUGACUUGUGGCUGGGGGUGAAAGGCCAAUCAAACCGGGAGAUAGCUGGUUCUCCCCGAAAGCUAUUUAGGUAGCGCCUCGUGAAUUCAUCUCCGGGGGUAGAGCACUGUUUCGGCAAGGGGGUCAUCCCGACUUACCAACCCGAUGCAAACUGCGAAUACCGGAGAAUGUUAUCACGGGAGACACACGGCGGGUGCUAACGUCCGUCGUGAAGAGGGAAACAACCCAGACCGCCAGCUAAGGUCCCAAAGUCAUGGUUAAGUGGGAAACGAUGUGGGAAGGCCCAGACAGCCAGGAUGUUGGCUUAGAAGCAGCCAUCAUUUAAAGAAAGCGUAAUAGCUCACUGGUCGAGUCGGCCUGCGCGGAAGAUGUAACGGGGCUAAACCAUGCACCGAAGCUGCGGCAGCGACACUAUGUGUUGUUGGGUAGGGGAGCGUUCUGUAAGCCUGUGAAGGUGUGCUGUGAGGCAUGCUGGAGGUAUCAGAAGUGCGAAUGCUGACAUAAGUAACGAUAAAGCGGGUGAAAAGCCCGCUCGCCGGAAGACCAAGGGUUCCUGUCCAACGUUAAUCGGGGCAGGGUGAGUCGACCCCUAAGGCGAGGCCGAAAGGCGUAGUCGAUGGGAAACAGGUUAAUAUUCCUGUACUUGGUGUUACUGCGAAGGGGGGACGGAGAAGGCUAUGUUGGCCGGGCGACGGUUGUCCCGGUUUAAGCGUGUAGGCUGGUUUUCCAGGCAAAUCCGGAAAAUCAAGGCUGAGGCGUGAUGACGAGGCACUACGGUGCUGAAGCAACAAAUGCCCUGCUUCCAGGAAAAGCCUCUAAGCAUCAGGUAACAUCAAAUCGUACCCCAAACCGACACAGGUGGUCAGGUAGAGAAUACCAAGGCGCUUGAGAGAACUCGGGUGAAGGAACUAGGCAAAAUGGUGCCGUAACUUCGGGAGAAGGCACGCUGAUAUGUAGGUGAGGUCCCUCGCGGAUGGAGCUGAAAUCAGUCGAAGAUACCAGCUGGCUGCAACUGUUUAUUAAAAACACAGCACUGUGCAAACACGAAAGUGGACGUAUACGGUGUGACGCCUGCCCGGUGCCGGAAGGUUAAUUGAUGGGGUCAGCGCAAGCGAAGCUCUUGAUCGAAGCCCCGGUAAACGGCGGCCGUAACUAUAACGGUCCUAAGGUAGCGAAAUUCCUUGUCGGGUAAGUUCCGACCUGCACGAAUGGCGUAAUGAUGGCCAGGCUGUCUCCACCCGAGACUCAGUGAAAUUGAACUCGCUGUGAAGAUGCAGUGUACCCGCGGCAAGACGGAAAGACCCCGUGAACCUUUACUAUAGCUUGACACUGAACAUUGAGCCUUGAUGUGUAGGAUAGGUGGGAGGCUUUGAAGUGUGGACGCCAGUCUGCAUGGAGCCGACCUUGAAAUACCACCCUUUAAUGUUUGAUGUUCUAACGUGGACCCGUGAUCCGGGUUGCGGACAGUGUCUGGUGGGUAGUUUGACUGGGGCGGUCUCCUCCUAAAGAGUAACGGAGGAGCACGAAGGUUGGCUAAUCCUGGUCGGACAUCAGGAGGUUAGUGCAAUGGCAUAAGCCAGCUUGACUGCGAGCGUGACGGCGCGAGCAGGUGCGAAAGCAGGUCAUAGUGAUCCGGUGGUUCUGAAUGGAAGGGCCAUCGCUCAACGGAUAAAAGGUACUCCGGGGAUAACAGGCUGAUACCGCCCAAGAGUUCAUAUCGACGGCGGUGUUUGGCACCUCGAUGUCGGCUCAUCACAUCCUGGGGCUGAAGUAGGUCCCAAGGGUAUGGCUGUUCGCCAUUUAAAGUGGUACGCGAGCUGGGUUUAGAACGUCGUGAGACAGUUCGGUCCCUAUCUGCCGUGGGCGCUGGAGAACUGAGGGGGGCUGCUCCUAGUACGAGAGGACCGGAGUGGACGCAUCACUGGUGUUCGGGUUGUCAUGCCAAUGGCACUGCCCGGUAGCUAAAUGCGGAAGAGAUAAGUGCUGAAAGCAUCUAAGCACGAAACUUGCCCCGAGAUGAGUUCUCCCUGACUCCUUGAGAGUCCUGAAGGAACGUUGAAGACGACGACGUUGAUAGGCCGGGUGUGUAAGCGCAGCGAUGCGUUGAGCUAACCGGUACUAAUGAACCGUGAGGCUUAACCUU
Molecule: ribosomal RNA, 2902 nt
Filed under: Escherichia coli STEC_EH250
Lineage: Bacteria; Pseudomonadati; Pseudomonadota; Gammaproteobacteria; Enterobacterales; Enterobacteriaceae
Description: bacterial LSU rRNA
Rfam family: Bacterial large subunit ribosomal RNA
Source: RNAcentral